RNAcentral lists this transfer RNA (87 nucleotides) under Cordylochernes scorpioides. RNAcentral's name for it is "tRNA-Tyr". It matches the Rfam family "tRNA". Rfam says of the family: Transfer RNA (tRNA) molecules are approximately 80 nucleotides in length. Their secondary structure includes four short double-helical elements and three loops (D, anti-codon, and T loops). The record is from RNAcentral. Lineage: Eukaryota; Metazoa; Arthropoda; Arachnida; Pseudoscorpiones; Chernetidae.
CCCUCGAUAGCUCAGUCGGCAGAGCAGAGGACUGUAGAUGUUACAACGGUGAUCCUUAGGUCGCUGGUUCAAAUCCGGCUCGAGGGA